Molecule: RNA transcript, 4108 nt
Organism: Brassica rapa (field mustard)
Lineage: Eukaryota; Viridiplantae; Streptophyta; Magnoliopsida; Brassicales; Brassicaceae
Source: RefSeq, a predicted model, not a curated record
CUGCAAUGAACGUUUACUCGGAAGGCUUGAGAAAUCUUUUGAAAUACAUCAAGGAUAACUACGCAAAUCCAGAGAUUAUGAUCAUGGAAAAUGGAUAUGGAGAAGAACUUGGGGCUACAGAUUCGAUUAAAAAUGGUACUGCUGAUCAUAAUAGGAAAUACUAUCUCCAGAGGCAUCUUUUGAGUAUGCAUGAAGCUAUUUGGUAAUUACUAUCUCCUGUAUACGAUCGAUAAUAAAUUUUAUUGAAAAAUCUAAUAAGAAAAUUGAUAUCAAAUCUGCAGCAUCGACAAAGUAAAUGUUACAGGAUACUUUAUAUGGUCAUUGUUGGAUAACUUCGAGUGGCAAGACGGUUACAAGAACAGAUUCGGACUCUAUUACAUUGAUUUCAAAAAUAACCUCACACGUCAUGAGAAAGAAACCGCGAAGUAUAUUAUAAAGGAUUCCUAAAUCCUAAGUGAAGGGACUCGUCCUUCCAUGAUCAAGAGAGAUGAACUUUGAGUUAUAUUUGGAGAGAUUGGAUUGUUUCAAAGUUUUUUUUUUUUUAUGUUUUAGUUUGUGGUUCACCAAGAUGUAUGAGAUCUUGGUUGGAAUAAAAGUGUUUUUCAUUUUUUUUUUCAAUUUACAUUGUCUACGUGAUUUGACAACAUCAAGAAGGUUUUAAACUUUUAAUUAUAAUAAAGUGAUCUCUUUUUAGAACUCCCUAUGUGAAGUUCCAUACUUUUAAACAAAAAAGGUGAAAUAACACAAUGGUGAGAUUUAAUUGGUGUAAUGACGUGGCAUUUUAGUUGACAUUAAUUACGAUUUAGAUAUGUAAAACCAAAAAAUUAAAAUUACUCAAAUAAACAACAGUUUAUUGUAAAAAGUAUGUUGUAUGUCAUGUUGAUAUAACACGAUUAAUUCAUCCCCAAAUUUUUCAAAAAAGCUGAUUCGUAGUUAAUGUAAUUUAUAAAUAUUUCAGUGGUAUACUAAAAGGUAAAAACUAUAGAAAGGUAGAAAAGUCAAAUAUGAAAUAACCAUUGUACGGAUGUCUAAGAGUAGUACAUAAUUUCAUUGACUAAAUACUAAAUAACAAACACGAAACCUAAACGGAGAACUAGUGGUACUAAGUACUAAGUACUAAGUAGCAAACUAAUUAAGCGAACGAUAGAAAGAUAGAGAAAGGUUAUGUUUCCAUUUCACCCAGGUCGUGACGUCACGUCAUUGGGAGAUGAAUGAAAACAAGGAUCCUCCUUCUUCGAGACCCUAAAAGAUCAAGCGACAUGGAUGCGACGGCCUGUUCCACCGCCACGUGUGCUGACUCUGUAUCCGAGGGUCGCGAGGCUGUAACAUGUGAAACCAUCACUAGGCGGGGAGAGAAUCACCGGAAGAUAGUCGUCAGUGUGGCAAGGAAACCUAGAGUCCUUGAAAUGUUGAGUAUACUCUUCUUUCCCCUAUGAUAAAACCAAACAGUAUAAUAACUCCAAAUAAAAUAAACAAAAACAAUUACUAAAACAAGAAAGAAGAGAAAGAGAGCCAAACCUGAUACUUGGCUUCAGAGAUUUCGCAAAUCUUCUUGUACCCAAAGCCGACCCAUAAGAAAUUGUCGUAUUCUCUCCGGAAUCUCUCAGCUGCGACUGAGCUCGUGAAGUUCACAAAAGCGUACCCUAAAUUCGCGUGUUUCCUGUUCAGCAGAAAAUGUUAUCUAUGCAGCAAAAGCAAAAAAUGUUAAGGAAGAACGAGUGAAAGUUUAUUUUGCUUUGGAAUUAGUGGCCAAAGCAAAAUAAAAGACUUUAGUUUGAUAACACUAGAUUUUUUUUGGUAUCAAAUUACUUGUUAACUAAACAGUAAUUCGUUAAUCCUAAUACCCAGCUCUUAAGAUAAUUUGGGAUUGGGUCAAUUAAUUCAAUAUCUCAAGAAAAAUCGGGAGACAGUGAAAAUAUUAUGGUUGAAAAGAAGCAAACCCUGAAAAAUCGUAAUGUCAAGAGCAUUUUAUAAUUAUGAAUAGAUGAAUCAUUAUAUAUUCCUUGCGGCACAAUGAAUAAUUAACAACUAAUUACAAAAGAAUUUAUUAUUUAGUUUAAACCAAAAACAGAAAGUUAUAGCAUUUACUUACACAAAAUCCAUGGGCAAAUAGAGAAAGUCAUAGGAAGAAGGAAUUUGUUGUUGAACUUUGUUCUCUCUACGACAAUGAUUGUUCAAAAUCCUCAGAAGAUCCUUUCGUCUUCCAAAACAAACAAACAAAAAACAAAACGUCUUUCAGGCAUUGGCAAUAACAAAGAUACAUAUUGCAAAACAGGAUUUUGAGACUGAAAACUGACCCAAACAUGUUUGGAAUGUUUCGUAUCAUAACAGAUGUUUGGUCACCAAACAGAGAUUUGAGCUCAGCUUCUUUGGGAGGAGGAAGAGGUUUUCUUGGCAAAACAUUUCGAUUUUUUUGGACCCAAGCCUUCUGCUUCAACAAUCUCGGAGGUAGACAUUUGGGUCGACUGAGCUUUCCCGGCUUAACACUGAAAGUGGUGAAUGAAAGAAAUUUCGGUUUUUGUGAAAGUUCUUGAGCUCGAUUUUUUGGAUAAAAUUCAGGGGCUUUUGGAUUGAGAGGUGGAGCCAUUGAAAAGAUAAACCCUAGGAAAGAAAGCUUGAAGUCAGAGAGAAGUGAGGAUACAAAUAAAAUAAAGAGACUCUGAGGAUAAAAACAAAAUAAAGAAGAGGCUUAGGCGUGGAGGUUUUGGGAGGAACAAGGGAGAAGAGAAGUUGCGGUUUUAGUGAAUGAAAAUGGGUCAGAACGAAAAAGGUUGCAGAGGAAGACAUAACACUCAAUUGAGUAUAUUAUUUUUUCUCAAUGUUUCUGUAUGUAAUGUCUCUCUUGUUCCAAUACUUCUUUAGCUAAAAAAUGGUAGGCUUUUCUAUGGUCAUAUUAAAUGUAUUUGAUCUGGCGGCGUGAUUGAGAGUUUGUCCGCUGGGUUAUAAACGAGUUGUCGAAGAGACGGGUGCAUUCCAAAACAAGUCAGAGUUUUCUUCUUUUUGCUUACAAAAUUGCAGAUUAUCGGUUAAAAGUACUAGUAUUCUGUUUUUUCACCGUAUAUAUUAUAAUAUUACGUAUAUUUUAUGUUGUCUAUUUAAUACAUCUCCAAUAGUAUACAGUAAUUUUUUCUAUAUUUAAUAGUAAAAUAGAGAUAUUCUAUUAUAGAAAUGAAUUUGUACCAAUGGUUUAGUAGAAAAACAACAUUAUUCUAUAUUUCAGUAUAUUAUAAAGUAACUAUAUUAUAGAGUAAACCAUUAAAGCAAAUCUAACACUAUAAUAUAGUUACUUUAUUUUAGAUUGAAAUAUAAAAAAAUUAUUGUAUAACAUUGGGGAUGGUCUAAGGCGGGUUUUUAAAAGGUUAAGUUUUAUCUUAUCUUUUCACUUAUUAAUUAUUAUUUGUUAAUAUGAUAAUUAGGUGUUUUUUAUGCAUUAAUUUUACAAAAAAUCUUUAUUUGCAGAUUUAAUAAUUUUACAAAAAAUUGUAAAUGUAUAUAUAUCAAACACAUUAAAAUAAAUUAUUUUCAUGCUUUUGAAAUACUUUUAAAUAUAAAGAUUUUUAUAUAUGAUAAAUUUUUUAUUUUUAAUAAAAUAUAUUUUAUUACGUAAAAUAAACUUCAAAACAUUGAUAUAUACAUAAAAUUAUAUACAACGAUUUAUAUUUAUUUUUAAAAUAUUAUGAUGUAAAAUAUUUUGGAUAAUAUAAUACAGAAAACUUUUGGAUAAUGAUAAUUAUCAAAUUUAUGAAAUUUGUUUUAAAUUUAUGGGUAAUCAUAUAAUAACAAAUCUAGUAUAAUUAUUUAUUAAAGGUAAUAAAAACUUUAAAAAUUAUGGGGGUGAUUAGUUGGGUUUUAUCUUCAUACUUUAGCUUUAUUUCUUUUUAAAUCACUAAACUUUACCAAUCAUACUGUAGUUUUAUUUUUAAAAGUUAAAGCUUACAUCAAGUUUCAAUUAAUUUUUACCAAUCAUGUUUUAGCUUUAUUUUUAAGCUACAUCAAAAUAAAUAAAGCAAAUCUUAUUAUUUUGUAUUUUAGGCAGAAAACCUACAUCAUCUUUUUAUAGGCUGUAGAAUCUCUGAAAUAAAAAUAACUAUCUAUAAUAUGAAAGAAA